Bradysia coprophila is the source of this 392-nucleotide long non-coding RNA. NCBI's taxonomy places the organism in Eukaryota, Metazoa, Arthropoda, Insecta, Diptera, Sciaridae. The record is from RefSeq and is a predicted model, not a curated record.
AACAGCAGAGAUUGAGCUUGAAAAAGCUUCGUUCCUUUAUGUACAGCUGACCAAGGCGUUGAGAGCUUUUAAUUUAGUUUUCAAUUUUCAAAUUACAAUGAGGAUCUUCACACAGCUAAUUAUGUUGACCACUCAACUGUUUUACCAAUAUGUCGCAAUUGUGCAGUUAGCUGCAAAUGAUAGUAGCUACGUUGCUCAACAACAUUUUGUGAUGUUUACAUCGACCGUCUUUUCAAUGUACGAAUUAUUGACAAUCGCAUUUGCUUGCAAUUCACUGGUUAGGGAGGCUCAACUAACAGCCGUAAUUUUUCAUAAACGGAAUGAUUCAAAAUUGAAAAAUGUCGACAUAUUCUCGACUUGGAUUUUAUUAAACAAGCUGAGGAUUACUGAUU